CAAAGAAUAAUUUAUUAAAAAUACUGGUUUUGGAAAUCAGCAAUGAUAUAUCUUAUAUCUUUUUUGA
This 67-nucleotide transfer RNA is filed under the name Glyptelasma annandalei. RNAcentral's name for it is "tRNA-Pro". The record is from RNAcentral. Lineage: Eukaryota; Metazoa; Arthropoda; Thecostraca; Poecilasmatidae.